Long non-coding RNA from Oncorhynchus kisutch (coho salmon), 1035 nucleotides. The record is from Ensembl. Lineage: Eukaryota; Metazoa; Chordata; Actinopteri; Salmoniformes; Salmonidae.
AUGUCCCCAACAGUGGACCAGUCCCAGAGGAGCCAGACUGCUCCUCCCCAGACAGCCCCCAAGAUCCAGGAGGUCUCUAAGGGGAAGGAUCCCGUCAGCCAGCCCCAGAGGAAGCUCUCUCGGCGGAGGGAGCUGAGAAUCCUGGAGUCCUUUGAGAAGGAGGAAGAGAGGGAGGAGAGAGAAGAGCUGUCCUUGGUGCUGACUGAGCUGGGGGUGAUGGUGAUGUCACCCUCGGAGGCUCAGAAGCUCAGCAAGACCUGGGGAGAGGCUCUACAGACACUCACCAUCCCACCUCAGCCUUCAGAGGGAAGCACUGAAACCCGUCUGUGUGGGGCUCCACUACUGGUAUUCUUCAGGGAGAUUGUGACGGUCAGAGAGGCCUACAGGAAGCUGCAGUUACUGCUGGGCAGCGAGGAGGACACAAGGUCAUCCAAUGUGGUCCCCAAGCCUAGAGCAGGAUCUUCUUACAGCAGCCUGAGCAGCAGCCCCAGUACCCUGGGCUCCAGGAUAACUCUCUCCCCUGAGCAGCAGGACUCUCUGAGAGAGGUUCUGAGGAGAGGAGUGGAGACAGGGGCCAGGAACCUGACACUCCCUCACAGCAAUGGAAUAAAGUGCAUUCUUGCCACCCUUCCGGAGCCCAAUCAGGACUCUGCAGAAGCAGCAGUGAAACCCAAUGGGUCUGCAGGGUGUGAGGAGAGCCAGGCCAGGGAAGAACAGGGACCGAACCCCUGGAAGCAGGGAGAGGACAUUAGGAGCAGCACCUACAGGAGGCUGGACAGCCUGGAUGAAACCAUCCGCGAGCUGGAGAACACCCUGCUGGAGCUCAGUGGCCACCCCACCACAGUGCACCUCUCCCCCCCCACACCCCCCACUGACACUGCCUUGUCAGAGGCUCCAGACCCAGCCCAGAUGCCUGGCACCAGCACCCCAGAGACCAAGAAGCCCCCAGUCCCACCCAAGCCCAAACCCUCCUACACUCCUGCCACGUUGACCAAGGUCUAUAACGUGCACCCCUGCAUAGACUCUGCUCUUUAG